RNAcentral lists this ribosomal RNA (500 nucleotides) under uncultured bacterium. RNAcentral describes it as "partial 16S ribosomal RNA". It matches the Rfam family "Bacterial small subunit ribosomal RNA", at positions 30 to 523 of the family's 1533-position model. The record is from RNAcentral.
AUUGAACGCUGGCGGAAUGCUUUACACAUGCAAGUCGAACGGUAGCACGGACUUCGGUCUGGUGGCGAGUGGCGAACGGGUGAGUAAUGUAUCGGAACGUGCCCAGUCGUGGGGGAUAACGUAGUGAAAAUUACGCUAAUACCGCAUACGAUCUAUGGAUGAAAGCGGGGGAUCGCAAGACCUCGCGCGAUUGGAGCGGCCGAUAUCAGAUUAGGUAGUUGGUGGGGUAAAGGCCCACCAAGCCAACGAUCUGUAGCUGGUCUGAGAGGACGACCAGCCACAAUGGAACUGAGACACGGUCCAGAAUCCUACGGGAGGCAGCAGUGGGGAAUUGUGGACAAUGGGCGAAAGCCUGAUCCAGCCAUUCCGCGUGCAGGAUGAGGGCCCUCGGGUUGUAAACUGCUUUUGUACAGAACGAAAAGGUUUCUACUAAUACUAGGAGCUCAUGACGGUACUGUAAGAAUAAGCACCGGCUAACUACGUGCCAGCCGCCGCCGUAA